GACGAACGCUGGCGGCGUGCUUAACACAUGCAAGUCGAACGGAAAGGCCCUGCUUUUGUGGGGUGCUCGAGUGGCGAACGGGUGAGUAACACGUGAGUAACCUGCCCUUGACUUUGGGAUAACUUCAGGAAACUGGGGCUAAUACUGGAUAGGAGCUCCUGCCGCAUGGUGGGGGGGGGAAAGUUUCGGCGGUUGGGGAUGGACUCGCGGCUUAUCAGCUUGUUGGUGGGGUAGUGGCUUACCAAGGCUUUGACGGGUAGCCGGCCUGAGAGGGUGACCGGCCACAUUGGGACUGAGAUACGGCCCAGACUCCUACGGGAGGCAGCAGUGGGGAAUAUUGCACAAUGGGCGGAAGCCUGAUGCAGCAACGCCGCGUGCGGGAUGACGGCCUUCGGGUUGUAAACCGCUUUCGCCUGUGACGAAGCGUGAGUGACGGUAAUGGGUAAAGAAGCACCGGCUAACUACGUG
RNAcentral lists this ribosomal RNA (468 nucleotides) under uncultured bacterium. Its description in RNAcentral is "partial 16S ribosomal RNA". It matches the Rfam family "Bacterial small subunit ribosomal RNA", at positions 28 to 507 of the family's 1533-position model. The record is from RNAcentral.